AGUCAAUAGAUACCCAGGUAGUCCUAGCCGUAAACGGUGCUUGCUUGCUGUAAAAGGAAUCGACCCCUUUUGUGGCGAAAGCCAAACGCGAUAAGCAAGCCGCCUGGGAAGUACGGUCGCAAGAUUAAAACUCAAAGAAAUUGACGGGGGCCUGCACAAGCGGUGGAGUAUGUGGCUUAAUUCGAUGCAACGCGAAGAACCUUACCUGGCCUUGACAUGCACGUAGUAGGAGCGUGAAAGCGUAACGAGGUAGCAAUACCAGCGUGCACGGGUGCUGCAUGGCUGUCGUCAGCUCGUGUCGUGAGAUGUUGGGUUAAGUCCCGCAACGAGCGCAACCCUUAUGUCCUGUUGCGAUUCCAACGAGAGUUGGGAGCACUCUGGACAGACUGCCUCGCUUAAACGAGGAGGAAGGUGGGGAUGACGUCAAGUCAGUAUGGCCCUUACGGCCAGGGCUGCACACGUACUACAAUGCCCGGCACAGAGGGAAGCAAGACUGUAAAGUGGAGCAAAU
RNAcentral lists this ribosomal RNA (511 nucleotides) under uncultured bacterium. Its description in RNAcentral is "bacterial SSU rRNA". It matches the Rfam family "Bacterial small subunit ribosomal RNA", at positions 775 to 1272 of the family's 1533-position model. The record is from RNAcentral.